UACGUAGGGGGCAAGCGUUGUCCGGAAUCAUUGGGCGUAAAGCGCGCGUAGGCGGCCCUGUAAGUCCGCUGUGAAAGUCAAAGGCUCAACCUUUGAACGCCGAUGGAUACUGCCGGGCUAGAGUCCGGAAGAGGAGAAUGGAAUUCCUGGUGUAGCGGUGAAAUGCGCAGAUAUCAGGAAGAACACCCGUGGCUAAGGCGGUUCUCUAGUACGGUACUGACGCUGAGACGCGAAAGCGUGGGGAGCGAACAGG
Molecule: ribosomal RNA, 253 nt
Filed under: uncultured bacterium
Lineage: Bacteria
Description: partial 16S ribosomal RNA
Rfam family: Bacterial small subunit ribosomal RNA
Source: RNAcentral